This 251-nucleotide ribosomal RNA is filed under the name uncultured bacterium. Its description in RNAcentral is "partial 16S ribosomal RNA". It matches the Rfam family "Bacterial small subunit ribosomal RNA", at positions 15 to 263 of the family's 1533-position model. The record is from RNAcentral.
GAUCCUGGCUCAGGACGAACGCUGGCGGCGUGCUUAACACAUGCAAGUCGAACGCUGAAGCCUAGCUUGCUGGGUGGAUGAGUGGCGAACGGGUGAGUAACACGUGAGUAACCUGCCCUCUUCUUUGGGAUAACGCCCGGAAACGGGUGCUAAUACUGGAUAUUCACUGGCCUUCGCAUGGGGGUUGGUGGAAAGGUUUUUCUGGUGGGGGAGUGGGCUCGCGGCCUAUCAGCUUGUUGGUGGGGUGAUGG